UGAGGAAUAUUGGACAAUGGGCGCAAGCCUGAUCCAGCCAUGCCGCGUGCAGGAAGAAGCAUCUAUGGUGUGUAAACCGCUUUUGUACGGGAAGAAACACUCCUUUGAGAAGGAGCUUGACGGUACCGUAAGAAUAAGGAUCGGCUAACUCCGCGCCAGCAGCCGCGGCAAUACGGAGGAUCCAAGCGUUAUCCGGAAUCAUUGGGUUUAAAGGGUCCGUAGGCGGCUUAGUAAGUCAGUGGUGAAAGCCCAUCGCUCAACGAUGGAACGGCCCUUGAUACUGCUAGACUUGAAUCAUUAGGAAGUAACUAGAAUAUGUAGUGUAGCGGUGAAAUGCUUAGAUAUAACAUGGAAUACCAAAAGAGAAGGCAGGUUACUACUAAUGAAUUGACGCUGAUGGGCGAGAGCGUGGGGAGCGAA
RNAcentral lists this ribosomal RNA (420 nucleotides) under uncultured bacterium. Its description in RNAcentral is "bacterial SSU rRNA". It matches the Rfam family "Bacterial small subunit ribosomal RNA", at positions 355 to 772 of the family's 1533-position model. The record is from RNAcentral.